UACAGAGGGUGCGAGCGUUAAUCGGAUUUACUGGGCGUAAAGGGCGCGUAGGUGGUAAGGCAAGUAAGAUGUGAAAGCCCUGGGCUUAACCUGGGAAGUGCAUCUUAAACUGCCUAACUAGAGUAUGGUAGAGGGUAGUGGAAUUUCCGGUGUAGCGGUGAAAUGCGUAGAGAUCGGAAGGAACGCCAGUGGUGAAGACGACUACCUGGACCAAUACUGACACUGAGGCGCGAAAGCGUGGGGAUCAAAC
RNAcentral lists this ribosomal RNA (250 nucleotides) under uncultured bacterium. RNAcentral's name for it is "partial 16S ribosomal RNA". It matches the Rfam family "Bacterial small subunit ribosomal RNA", at positions 524 to 773 of the family's 1533-position model. The record is from RNAcentral.